AGUACGCCGGACAGUCGCGGGGACAUGGCGAAAGCCCGUCCGUGAGGAAAGUCCGGGCUCCAUAGGGCGAGGAUAGCGGGUAACGCCCGCCGAAGGCGACUUCAGGAAAAGUGCAACAGAGAUAUACCGCCCGCCGGCUUUCGCCGGCGUGGUAAGGGUGGAAAGGCGAGGUAAGAGCUCACCCGACGGCGUGUGAAAGCGUCCGUCGCUGUAAACUCUAUCCGGAGCAACACCGGUAUGGGAGCAACAGGCUGGCCCGGCCGCUCCCGAGGUGGCUGGAGCGCACCGGCGACGGUGCGCGUAGAUAGAUGACUGUCAAGACAGAACCCGGCUUACAGGCAUACUCG
RNAcentral lists this RNase P RNA (347 nucleotides) under human gut metagenome. RNAcentral's name for it is "Bacterial RNase P class A". It matches the Rfam family "Bacterial RNase P class A". From Rfam's summary of the family: Ribonuclease P (RNase P) is a ubiquitous endoribonuclease, found in archaea, bacteria and eukarya as well as chloroplasts and mitochondria. Its best characterised activity is the generation of mature 5'-ends of tRNAs by cleaving the 5'-leader elements of precursor-tRNAs. Cellular RNase Ps are ribonucleoproteins. RNAcentral also lists the same sequence under 1 other name. The record is from RNAcentral.